GGAAAAAGGGAGUGAGGGGGAAAAGGAGGGGUGGAGAGAGAGAGAGAAUAUGAGAGAUAGAGAGGGAGGGAGAAAGAGAGGGAAAGAGAGAGAGGGUGAGAGAGAGAGCGGGUGAGAGAGGGAGAGGGAGAGAGAGAGAGGGAGAGAGAGGGAGAGAGAGAGAGAGCGAGAGAGAGAGAGAGGGAGAGAGGGAGAGAGAGUGUGUGAGAGAGAGAGAGCAGGUGAGAGGGUGAGAGAGAGAGAGAGAGCAGGUGAGAGAGGGAGAGGGAGAGAGAGAGAGAGAGAGAGGGAGAGAGAGGGAGAGAGAGGGAGAGUGAAAGAGAAGAGAAAAGAGAGAAAAGAGGGAGGGAGGAGGGCUAUGGGUGGAGCUGCAGAGGAACAGUCCAGGGUUUGUUUGCUGAUAUUAUUUUAAUGUCAGAACCCUGUUCCAAUGUAAGCAGCAUGGGAGUACUGGCCAUCACUUCAAUCAUAUCCAGGUCAAUAGCCGUACUGUUUUUGCCAUUGCCGUUAGACUUCUCAUUAAACGUGAAUCAAUAAAGGGAUAACCCUGGUGGAUUGUCUAGCCUCCUCUCCACUGAGACAUUGGGGAAGGAGUUUAUAGAACUGUUGGAAUUCGGACCCUCCAAAAACUAUUCUGUCUCAAAAUGUUGUUUUCUCUAGCCCUCCUCUUCCUGCUAACCCCGUUUCCCUCCCUUCAAACUCCAGUAACCUAUGAGAAAAGAAAUGCCACAGGAACAGGAAGUGAACCCAAACCCUACGUCCUACUCACCCUCUCCCUCACAAAACCAAAAACCGCAGCCACGCUCGUCAAAGUCACCAAAGAGACCCCUAAGCCCACUCCGAAAGUCCUAAGCCCAACUGCAGCCAAUCAGACACAUCCAGCCCCCACAAACCCCCUCAAACCUCCAACAGCCACGUUCAUCAAACUCACCAAAGAGACCCCUAAGCCCACUCCAAAAGCCCUAAGCCCAACUGCAGCCAAUCAGACACAUCCAGCCCCCUCGACCCCCCUCAAGCCUCCAACAGCCACGUUCAUCAAACUCACCAAAGAGACCCCUAAGCCCACUCCAAAAGCCCUAAGCCCAACUGCAGCCAAUCAGACACAUCCAGCCCCCUCGACACCCCUCAAGCCUCCAAUAGCCACAUUCAUCAAACUCACCAAAGAGACCCCUAAGCCCACUCCAAAAGCCCUAAGCCCAACUGCAGCCAAUCAGACACAUCCUGCCCCCUCGACCCCCCUCAAGCCUCCAACAGCCAUGCUCGUCAAACUCACCAAAGAGACCCCUAAGCCCACUCCGAAAGCCCUAAGCCCAACUGCAGCCAAUCAGACACAUCCUGCCCCCUCAACCCCC
This 1352-nucleotide long non-coding RNA is filed under the name Salmo salar (Atlantic salmon). Its description in RNAcentral is "lncRNA (ENSSSAG00000119849.1)". Lineage: Eukaryota; Metazoa; Chordata; Actinopteri; Salmoniformes; Salmonidae. The record is from RNAcentral.